UGCAUUUCUAGAGUCUACACUGUUUGUUCCC
This 31-nucleotide non-coding RNA is filed under the name Rattus norvegicus (Norway rat). Lineage: Eukaryota; Metazoa; Chordata; Mammalia; Rodentia; Muridae. The record is from RNAcentral.